RNAcentral lists this unclassified non-coding RNA (200 nucleotides) under soil metagenome. RNAcentral describes it as "partial contains internal transcribed spacer 2 and large subunit ribosomal RNA". The record is from RNAcentral.
UUACAACCCUCCAGCUCUGCUGGUCUUGGGCCGGUCUUUCACCGAAGACCUCCCUCAAAGUCAGUGGCAGACUCCACGGUCUCGGAGCGCAUUGGAACUUUCAGUUUCGCUACUCGAGUAUCGGCGGCGUGUCGCCAACGCGAACCCCCCAUUUUUACACGGUUGACCUCGGAUCAGGUAGGGAUACCCGCUGAACUUAA